RNAcentral lists this ribosomal RNA (378 nucleotides) under uncultured bacterium. RNAcentral's name for it is "bacterial SSU rRNA". It matches the Rfam family "Bacterial small subunit ribosomal RNA", at positions 29 to 394 of the family's 1533-position model. The record is from RNAcentral.
AACGAACGCUGGCGGCGCGCCUAAUACAUGCAAGUCGAGCGAGAAGACGUAGCAAUACGUUUGUAAAGCGGCGAACGGGUGAGGAAUACAUGGGUAACCUACCCUCGAGUGGGGAAGUAACUAGCCGAAAGGUUAGCUAAUACCGCGUACGCUCCUUGGACUUCGGUUCAGGGAGGGAAAGCGAUACCGUGGGUAUCGCGCUCUUGGAUGGGCUCAUGUCCUAUCAGCUUGUUGGUGAGGUAACGGCUCACCAAGGCUUCGACGGGUAGCUGGUCUGAGAGGACGGAUCAGCCACACUGGGACUGAGACACGGCCCAGACUCCUACGGGAGGCAGCAGUGGGGAAUCUUGCGCAAUGGGCGAAAGCCUGACGCAGCAA